This 1140-nucleotide long non-coding RNA is filed under the name Apteryx owenii (little spotted kiwi). RNAcentral's name for it is "lncRNA (ENSAOWG00000009909.1)". The record is from RNAcentral. Lineage: Eukaryota; Metazoa; Chordata; Aves; Apterygiformes; Apterygidae.
CCAGGGUCUCUUAAACAUGCCUGCCUCUGAAUAAACACAGUGGGCAUGAUGUGUUACAGGCUGCAUUACUGAGAAUCAUCCGGCUGUAGAGGAGAAGAGGACUGUAUUUAUAUUUUUGUAGAUGCUGGGGAGUCACCUGUCUUCAAAGGAUGCUGGACAGGCUGGAAGACAUCAGGAAGCACACUCACGUCAUGCCUUUCGGAGGCAAUAAUCAGUUGAAUACCAUCGAACAGUCACGUUGCAGCAAUCGGUGUACAGAGGAUGCAUGUGCUGGUGCCUGAGGCUGGGAAUGCAUAGCUACAGGUCUGCUCCCAUGGAAUAGAGACAGUCAUGUUCUUAAUAUAAAACAUGAUGGAAUCCAGCUUGUUUGAGCUUUUUACUGUUGCUUUCCCAGCAGGUUUCUGUGCCCACUCCCUCUGCUAAACCACCUGUUCCAUCAGAUUCAUAUUUUGCAGGGAAACCUCUUCAAAAAGACUAAGCACCUGGCCAAAGCUUGUGGGCAACUUAUCUGGCAGCUUUGGGGAGACCCAGCAGUGUUCCUCCUGCAUGUGAGUUUACUUUAGCACAUGACUUUGUUUAAAUGAUGAUUCAGUAUUAUAAAAUACAAAUAUGCAUUUUCUUCUUUUCAGGGUAGAGAAGUUUUGAAGAGGUGUAGAGUCUCAGGGAAUUUGCCUAAGCCUCUGCCUACUGCUUUGUGCUUAAUUCAGUCUGUGUAUAAGAAUCCUGUAAACUUCGUUGCUGGGAUUAGGAUGGCGUCAGUCCCUGGGCCUGGCCCCCGUGGAGUAAAGGCAGCUAGAGAUGCUGGGGACGUGCGGUGGAAAGGGCCAGCACCAUCUCUGUCUGGAUCCAAGUCCUGUCUGUGCAGAAGGAGGCGGACAAGGCACAGCCAUGAACUUGAGCUCUGAUCCUCUGGGAAGCCUGGGCCUGUUUCAAGACCAGGGUCCUGGUGCUCCGCUGAGCCUGGCCAACAUAAAGCGUAACCUGAACGGUGGGGCUGGGCAGGAACCGCUUCUAAUGUCAGUGUCUGAAUGAAACAGCAUCCCAGGAGCCAAAACAACUCCAUUGACCCUGGUUUCCACCUCCUUGCCCAAACGCCUGACUUCACUUCUAGAGAUUUCCAAAAACACCGCAGCUGUUUUG